RNAcentral lists this ribosomal RNA (468 nucleotides) under uncultured bacterium. RNAcentral's name for it is "partial 16S ribosomal RNA". It matches the Rfam family "Bacterial small subunit ribosomal RNA", at positions 28 to 507 of the family's 1533-position model. The record is from RNAcentral.
GACGAACGCUGGCGGCGUGCUUAACACAUGCAAGUCGAACGGAAAGGCCCUGCUUUUGUGGGGUGCUCGAGUGGCGAACGGGUGAGUAACACGUGAGUAACCUGCCCUUGACUUUGGGAUAACUUCAGGAAACUGGGGCUAAUACCGGAUAGGAGCUCCUGCUGCAUGGUGGGGGUGGGAAAGUUUCGGCGGUUGGGGAUGGACUCGCGGCUUAUCAGCUUGUUGGUGGGGUAGUGGCUUACCAAGGCUUUGACGGGUAGCCGGCCUGAGAGGGUGACCGGCCACAUUGGGACUGAGAUACGGCCCAGACUCCUACGGGAGGCAGCGGUGGGAAAUAUUGCACAAUGGGCGGAAGCCUGAUGCAGCAACGCCGCGUGCGGGAUGACGGCCUUCGGGUUGUAAACCGCUUUCGCCUGUGACGAAGCGUGAGUGACGGUAAUGGGUAAAGAAGCACCGGCUAACUACGUG